RNAcentral lists this transfer RNA (65 nucleotides) under Amphiuma tridactylum (three-toed salamander). RNAcentral's name for it is "tRNA-Cys". The record is from RNAcentral. Lineage: Eukaryota; Metazoa; Chordata; Amphibia; Caudata; Amphiumidae.
AGCCCCGGCAGAAACUACUCCGCUCUUUAAAAUUUGCAAUUUUACAUACCGUACAUCACGAGGCU